UCUGUGGAAAGAGCAGCAGAGCUUUGAGCUGCAGGUAAAGGAAUCUGACUGAAAACUCAACUCUUAAGAAAUAACAAGGAAAAUGGACCUUUUGCAUCUGGGUGGUCAACAGAGACAGUGGAGCACUAUUCUGGCCAGAAGAGAAGGAGACACAGCACAGGCAGAGUGGAAUAAUAAAAGGAAGCAGAGUAAUAAUGAGAUUUCAUAUAAUGCUCUCUAUCCUGACUGGAAGAGAGAUUCAGAUGUUUCAUCCUUGAGAUCACCAUCUUGAGCCUCAACACUGAAGAUAUUUAAAAACAGCAGAUGGAUUUCUUACUGUACCAGAUGAAGUAGAACAACUGUAGGUGAUAACACCUGUGUUGCCUGCGCCUGUACAUUUGAAGAGUGCUCUCAGGAACACGUGCAAAUACUGCAGGCCCUUUGACGUGCCAUGUGCUGACCCCACAGCUGUCUCACAGGCUGACCACAAGGAGCUUGUCAGCUGUAUCUGCAAGAUUGUAGUUGCUCAGGCAUUUGAAGUUGUGGGUGCACCUUCACCCAUAUCUGGGACUGUGUUUACAAUUUCACAGUUUUGGAUCAACCCAAAACUGGACUUCAGAAAGGUCACCAACGGACUUCAAAGAUAAUGUAUGCCCUGACUGAUUUACUUUAGAGAGUCCUCUAAAUGGCCACUGAACUCUUGCGUCUUUGGGCUGGACAGUCUCUGUUAAGAAAUCCUGUAACUUGCUGUCUUUUUGCACUGUACUGCUACAUCUUCUCAUUUAGUUAGUAUUGAACUUUUAAUCAAACAUAAUGCUUUAAGGAUCUGGAUCUUGAAAUUUGUUGGCAGAUUCUUAAGUAUUCAUCCUUCUCAUCUGAUAAAUUGCUUAGCUCUCCUACAGCAGUUAAGACAUAAAAACCUUCCCUGAAUCUUUGGUGGAUAAAAAAGUCUGAAGGCUUCUGGCUUUUCUAAUGGCUAUGCUAUUUUGUUUGCUGCUGUCAGCAUUUCUUUUUAUUAACAGGUACUAUGUUUGUUUCUCAUACAGCCUGGCAGCUUAACGUUUAAAGCAGGUGAGAAUCUGAUUUUACUUACAGAACAUUUCAUUUAUUUAAGGCUAUUUGAAAUGACUUGUUUAAUGGAUGUAUCACACCUUGGCUGAUGAUCUGUCCCUGUUUCUGUGCAAUUACAGUUCUGCGUAACAAAGAGUGGGACAUGUGUAUCCAGGCAAAACUAAAUCACUUAAGGAGAAAAUAAAGUCUGUUGAAACACUACAUAAAUGCUGAACAUGGCACCUUUUUUAAUUGAGCUUGGUAAACAGAGAGGUUCCCAGCAUAUCCUGAAAGUUUAGUCCCUGGACCAAGUCAAAAAAUGACCCACCACUCUUCAAGGUAAAAUACAAGUUACAAGUCAAACAACUAGUCCUUUUAAGGAACAGUGAAUACAUGUAAAUUGGUGAUUGUUUUAGAGCUUCUUGGUUUGACUCAAUUCAUAAAUUUAGUUUAUCGGUUAAAAAAUUUGCUGCACCAAGAACUUGAUUGUCACCCUCCUCACAGAGAUGGAACCUAAUGUGCUGAAGUGCAGGCUGACAUAGAAAGCCUUUGAAGUUUACAGUGCCAGUCAGAGAUGUGCCUGUAUCCAAGAGCCAAGUCUGUUUAGUGACAAUUACUAAAUCUGUAAAUACUUUUGAUUCACAGAAUCAUGAAUCAUGAUUCUGUAAAUACUUUUGAUUGAUGGUUUUAAAGAGAGAGACAAUUCUUGAAUGUCAACUCAUAAAUGCAAGUGGAUUAAAAUUUCUUGAACCACCUGCUUGCUUCAAAGUCUAUGGCUUGAACAUUGUGUGAAAAAUCUGUUCCAUGAGUUCCUCAGAAAGGUGCCUUAGUACUGAAGGUAGUGGUGCCUUUCUCUGAAGCCUGGCUGAAGAUAUCUUCCCAAAGUGAAGAUAUUAAUGGCCUCAGACUAAUUACACUUUUGCAAGAUGUAAGACUCUCAGUUGCCUGAAGUGUAGGUUCCUGUUCAUUUGCUGGCUGCUGACAACUUGUGAGCUUAAGUUGACCUCUGUGUAUUUUAAAUUGGGUAUUAACUUUGGAAGAAAAAGAACAUGUCAGAUGAACUGUUACCUCAUCUUCUGUGUCAUGCCAUAGGUCUCACUGGGAGCUGGACAAUGAUGGCAGAAGAAAGCUGGGAAAUUGUAUUAUUAUAAAGAACAGCUUCAUAAGUGGAAAAAGUGUUGGUGAAGGCAGACGCUAUUAGUGUGAAGGAAGCAGAGCCUACUCAUUAGCUGUUCUUUCUAUGUGGGAAAUUAAAAUGUGAAAUAAAAAGGACUAGUUGCACUGUGCAACUAGUUGCAGUGCAAUGAGCAUGCAUCAUGAUUUGAAUAUAACAAAUGCCAAAUGCAACAGCUAUGUAGUGGGCAGAUUUCUUUUUUCUCUGGGGAUUUUGAUCUGUAUUCUUGUAGAAGAAGAUUUUUUGUAUCACAUCUAUGCAUUUCCCAUCACUUUGUAAGCUGAAGGAGAAAUCCAGUCUCGCAAAUUAACCAGGUAGCAUUCUCCUAUGUAAUAGACCAUGUAGGAGUAUGUAAACCUUAGAGGAGUGUUUGUCACCGAAUGAACACGUCUGUACUAGUUCAAAAUGCCCUUCAAGCUAUGCCUGAAAUAUUUCUCUGUUCAAAUGAGUUACCCCUUCUUGUGGGUGGAAUGAAGAAUCUUGUCCUUCAUCUUAAUUUGUAUACACUAAGUUCAUGACAGAGUAACUUAGUCAUACGAAGGAAGGCAGAUAUCACCUCCCUUCUAUGCCAUGCAAAGCUGUUGUGAGCCAAGGAGUUGUACAGCUAACAGACUAGUAAAACCAGGCCUGCCAUGUCUACCAAAAUAAUCAGGUCGCAUACUCUCCAUACUCGUUAAAAAGCUAACUAAGCUAUUUGUAUGGCUUCUAAACCACGCAUGUACAAAUUCACAUUAAAAUUAGAAUUAA
This is a long non-coding RNA of Neopsephotus bourkii (Bourke's parrot), 2950 nucleotides long. RefSeq lists it as uncharacterized. NCBI's taxonomy places the organism in Eukaryota, Metazoa, Chordata, Aves, Psittaciformes, Psittacidae. The transcript has 4 exons. The record is from RefSeq and is a predicted model, not a curated record.